ACACUCCUGCGGGAGUCAGCAGUGGGGAAUAUUGGACAAUGGGCGCAAGCCUGAUCCAGCCAUGCCGCGUGAGUGAUGAAGGCCCUAGGGUUGUAAAGCUCUUUCACCGGUGAAGAUAAUGACGGUAACCGGAGAAGAAGCCCCGGCUAACUUCGUGCCAGCAGCCGCGGUAAUACGAAGGGGGCUAGCGUUGUUCGGAUUUACUGGGCGUAAAGCGCACGUAGGCGGACUAUUAAGUCAGGGGUGAAAUCCCGGGGCUCAACCCCGGAACUGCCUUUGAUACUGGUAGUCUUGAGUUCGAGAGAGGUGAGUGGAAUUCCGAGUGUAGAGGUGAAAUUCGUAGAUAUUCGGAGGAACACCAGUGGCGAAGGCGGCUCACUGGCUCGAUACUGACGCUGAGGUGCGAAAGCGUGGGGAGCAAACAGGAUUAGAAACCCCAGUAGUCCCAUG
RNAcentral lists this ribosomal RNA (450 nucleotides) under uncultured organism. Its description in RNAcentral is "partial 16S ribosomal RNA". It matches the Rfam family "Bacterial small subunit ribosomal RNA", at positions 333 to 799 of the family's 1533-position model. The record is from RNAcentral.